UACAGAGGGGGCAAGCGUUGUUCGGAAUUACUGGGCGUAAAGGGCGCGUAGGCGGCCUGCUAAGUCGAACGUGAAAUCCCUGGGCUCAACCCAGGAACUGCGUCCGAUACUGGUUGGCUUGAAUCCGGGAGAGGGACGUGGAAUUCCAGGUGUAGCGGUGAAAUGCGUAGAUAUCUGGAGGAACACCGGUGGCGAAGGCGACGUCCUGGACCGGUAUUGACGCCGAGGCGCGAAAGCCAGGGGAGCAAACGGG
RNAcentral lists this ribosomal RNA (253 nucleotides) under uncultured bacterium. RNAcentral describes it as "partial 16S ribosomal RNA". It matches the Rfam family "Bacterial small subunit ribosomal RNA", at positions 524 to 776 of the family's 1533-position model. The record is from RNAcentral.